AAAAAGGGUUAAAGGGGAAGGUCGGGAGCACCGACAUGCUUUUGAUGCAUCUAAAUGAAGAAAAUAAAGCUUAAAAGAAAAACAUAUAUUAAGAUGAAUUCAUUAAUAACUUUCAUAUAUGCAUACGUAUAUGUAUUACUUUAUUCUGCAAAUACCCAUAUAAGUUUUGGUUUAUUUCAUAAAGGAGGUAAUGAAACAAAGAUGAAAGAAAGAGAGGGGGAGGGGGGAAAAGCUAUGGUAAUCUCAUCAUGCAUGAUUCAUAAAUUGGCCACAUAAGAUAAAAGCAUUAUACAGACAGCAAAAU
RNAcentral lists this long non-coding RNA (304 nucleotides) under Carica papaya (papaya). RNAcentral describes it as "long non-coding RNA (CPAP_LNC015238)". The record is from RNAcentral. Lineage: Eukaryota; Viridiplantae; Streptophyta; Magnoliopsida; Brassicales; Caricaceae.